GUCUACAGCCAUACUACCCUGAACGUUCCCAAUCUUGUCUGAUCUCAGAAGCUAAGCAGGGUCAGGCCUGGUUAACACUUGGAUGGGAGAAAGGGACCCAAGUUAACCAGUAGAUG
Ribosomal RNA from Ochotona princeps (American pika), 116 nucleotides. NCBI's taxonomy places the organism in Eukaryota, Metazoa, Chordata, Mammalia, Lagomorpha, Ochotonidae. The record is from Ensembl.